This 548-nucleotide ribosomal RNA is filed under the name uncultured bacterium. RNAcentral's name for it is "partial 16S ribosomal RNA". It matches the Rfam family "Bacterial small subunit ribosomal RNA", at positions 355 to 914 of the family's 1533-position model. The record is from RNAcentral.
UGGGGAAUAUUGCACAAUGGGCGAAAGCCUGAUGCAGCGACGCCGCGUGAGGGAUGACGGCCUUCGGGUUGUAAACCUCUUUCAGCAGGGAAGAAGCGAAAGUGACGGUACCUGCAGAAGAAGCGCCGGCUAACUACGUGCCAGCAGCCGCGGUAAUACGUAGGGCGCAAGCGUUGUCCGGAAUUAUUGGGCGUAAAGAGCUCGUAGGCGGUUAGUCGCGUCUGCUGUGAAAACUCGAGGCUCAACCUCGGGCUUGCAGUGGGUACGGGCUGACUAGAGUGCAGUAGGGGUGACUGGAAUUCCUGGUGUAGCGGUGGAAUGCGCAGAUAUCAGGAGGAACACCGAUGGCGAAGGCAGGUCACUGGGCCGCAACUGACGCUGAGGAGCGAAAGCAUGGGGAGCGAACAGGAUUAGAUACCCUGGUAGUCCAUGCCGUAAACGUUGGGCACUAGGUGUGGGUCCAUUCCACGGAUUCCGUGCCGCAGCAAACGCAUUAAGUGCCCCGCCUGGGGAGUACGGCCGCAAGGCUAAAACUCAAAGGAAUUGAC